AAUCGAACCUUCUAAUAAAUGUCUGCAAUAGUCAAAUGAGUUCUAAAGAACGAAUAAUUAUGUAUUGGAUAAAUAAAUUAGAGUCAUCUAAAAUACAAAAAUCUACUUACAAGCUUGUUUGGCCAUGAAUUUUGGAGCUCAAAUUUGAAAUUUUAUGAUAUUAUUCAUGAAACUAGAUUAUUGAUAACUAAGGGAGCCACUCUAUCUCAUUUUAAAGGGGCUUUUACAAUAAUUUGGAGGGGAAAGAAGAGGACAUGAUGGGAAAUACAAAAAAAAUGAUGAAUUACUAGAAUGUCCUGUCCUAAUGUACGAAUAAACUUGUUUUAGGAAUUAGGGUUUCUUAUACAUCAUAUAAAUUGGAAAAGAGGCCAUUGAAUUAGCCAAAGAUCCCAACUGAGCUAUCAGCGAAAGUUGUUGAAGAAAUUUGAGCGAACAUGAGGGCCAAGUGGAAGAAGAAGCGUAUGAGGAGGUUGAAGAGGAAGCGCAGAAAGAUGAGACAGAGAUCCAAGUAGGGCAAGGAUAUGAAUUAUUAGGACGGCUUCUGGUUGAACUUGCUGCAUCUUUUUCUAUUGAUGUCUGUCUUACGGGCAGUACUGAAGAAUCGAUAAUGCUUGUUGUAGGAAGCUGAUCUAGUCAUAUAUUUUUGUUUUUAUGAAGGGUCUGGUUCCAGUUUCAUUUCAUCCUCAACGAUAAUGUUUCUGUUCUGUUCUUGAGGUGUUUAUUAGUCUUCAUGUAAAAGAUAUUUAAGAUUAUGUUGAUCUAUUUCAUUAAAGCUGAACUUAAAUGGAGCAUUAUGGAUGGGAUUUCUGUU
Molecule: long non-coding RNA, 811 nt
Organism: Lycium barbarum (goji berry)
Lineage: Eukaryota; Viridiplantae; Streptophyta; Magnoliopsida; Solanales; Solanaceae
Exons: 2
Source: RefSeq, a predicted model, not a curated record